Molecule: ribosomal RNA, 301 nt
Filed under: uncultured bacterium
Lineage: Bacteria
Description: partial 16S ribosomal RNA
Rfam family: Bacterial small subunit ribosomal RNA
Source: RNAcentral
CAGUAGCCACGGGAAUACGUAGGUGGCAAGCGUUGUCCGGAAUUAUUGGGCGUAAAGGGCUCGCAGGCGGUUUCUUAAGUCUGAUGUGAAAACCCCCGGCUCAACCGGGGAGGGUCAUUGGAAACUGGGAAACUUGAGUGCAGAAGAGGAGAGUGGAAUUCCACGUGUAGCGGUGAAAUGCGUAGAGAUGUGGAGGAACACCAGUGGCGAAGGCGACUCUCUGGUCUGUAACUGACGCUGAGGAGCGAAAGCGUGGGGAGCGAACAGGAUUAGAUACCCCGGUAGUCCCUGUCUCUUAUAC